GAACGCUGGCGGCAGGCUUAACACAUGCAAGUCGAGCGGAAACGAUGAUAGCUUGCUAUCAGGCGUCGAGCGGCGGACGGGUGAGUAAUACUUAGGAAUCUACCUAGUAGUGGGGGAUAGCACGGGGAAACUCGUAUUAAUACCGCAUACGUCCUACGGGAGAAAGGGGGCAACUUGUUGCUCUCGCUAUUAGAUGAGCCUAAGUCGGAUUAGCUAGAUGGUGGGGUAAAGGCCUACCAUGGCGACGAUCUGUAGCUGGUCUGAGAGGAUGAUCAGCCACACCGGGACUGAGACACGGCCCGGACUCCUACGGGAGGCAGCAGUGGGGAAUAUUGGACAAUGGGGGAAACCCUGAUCCAGCCAUGCCGCGUGUGUGAAGAAGGCCUUUUGGUUGUAAAGCACUUUAAGCAGUGAAGAAGACUCUUCGGUUAAUACCCGGAGACGAUGACAUUAGCUGCAGAAUAAGCACCGGCUAACUCUGUGCCAGCAGCCGCGGUAAUACAGAGGGUGCAAGCGUUAAUCGGAAUUACUGGGCGUAAAGCGAGCGUAGGUGGCUUGAUAAGUCAGAUGUGAAAUCCCCGGGCUUAACCUGGGAACUGCAUCUGAAACUGUUAGGCUAGAGUAGGUGAGAGGGAAGUAGAAUUUCAGGUGUAGCGGUGAAAUGCGUAGAGAUCUGAAGGAAUACCGAUGGCGAAGGCAGCUUCCUGGCAUCAUACUGACACUGAGGCUCGAAAGCGUGGGUAGCAAACAGGAUUAGAUACCCUGGUAGUCCACGCCGUAAA
Molecule: ribosomal RNA, 782 nt
Filed under: Psychrobacter sp. AD-A3
Lineage: Bacteria; Pseudomonadati; Pseudomonadota; Gammaproteobacteria; Moraxellales; Moraxellaceae
Description: bacterial SSU rRNA
Rfam family: Bacterial small subunit ribosomal RNA
Source: RNAcentral